GCCUUUCUUGUCAUGGAACAUAUAAUUAUACUAAAUUUCCUUUAUGAGGUCAGAAGUCUGUUCCAAUGUCAGAUAAUUUUGUCAGUUUUAUAGUCUUGAAUAAAUGUUUACUUGACAAAACUCCUAGCAAAAAUUAUCAUCAAACUCAUUUGAAAUACUGCUAUUGUAUCUUUAAAAAAAAGUCAAUGCAGUCAAUAGUCAAAUCCUCUCCAUGGACAAAGAUGUGCUGAUGCUAUCAAAAAACAAAUUGCUGAUGGUGCUGGCUAAACAGAAAUGACGACUGGCUCAGCCAAAGUGGCUGGUGACUAAACAGGUUCAGUUUUGUAUGCCAAAAAUGAACUCAAUUUAUUUUAAACUUCAUCUAAAUGCAGCUUGGACAUGCUGACAAAGAUUGAUAUGGCUGUAAAACUGUUUGCAAUCUGUGACACUUACCUGUAAUUUACUCACCUUGAUAAUUAAUUAAUAAAUAAUCCAUCAAACUCAGGAUUCAUCAAAUCAUUUAUUCUAUGCAACAGACUUUUCUGACAAAUUAAUUAUAUCCUAUAUUAAAUCAGGAUUUUAUUUGUUUUCUAUUAAUUUGUCCAACUGAAUAUUUGAC
Molecule: long non-coding RNA, 598 nt
Filed under: Mytilus galloprovincialis (Mediterranean mussel)
Lineage: Eukaryota; Metazoa; Mollusca; Bivalvia; Mytilida; Mytilidae
Source: RNAcentral